RNAcentral lists this ribosomal RNA (377 nucleotides) under uncultured bacterium. Its description in RNAcentral is "bacterial SSU rRNA". It matches the Rfam family "Bacterial small subunit ribosomal RNA", at positions 521 to 896 of the family's 1533-position model. The record is from RNAcentral.
UAAGACGAACCGUCCAAACGUUAUUCGGAAUCACUGGGCUUAAAGGGUACGUAGGCGGCCUGAUAAGUUGGGUGUGAAAUCCCUCGGCUCAACCGAGGAACUGCACUCAAAACUGUCAGGCUAGAGGGAGAUAGAGGUGAGCGGAACUCAGGGUGGAGCGGUGGAAUGCGUUGAUAUCCUGGGGAACACCAGCUGCGAAGGCGGCUCACUGGGUCUCUUCUGACGCUGAGGUACGAAAGCUAGGGGAGCGAACGGGAUUAGAUACCCCGGUAGUCCUAGCUGUAAACGAUGGAUACUAGGUGUGGGAGGUAUCGACCCCUUCUGUGCCGCAGCUAACGCAUUAAGUAUCCCGCCUGGGGAGUACGGUCGCAAGGCUG